GAUGAACGCUGGCGGCGUGCCUAAUACAUGCAAGUCGAGCGAACAGACGAGGAGCUUGCUCCUCUGACGUUAGCGGCGGACGGGUGAGUAACACGUGGAUAACCUACCUAUAAGACUGGGAUAACUUCGGGAAACCGGAGCUAAUACCGGAUAAUAUAUUGAACCGCAUGGUUCAAUAGUGAAAGACGGUUUUGCUGUCACUUAUAGAUGUAUCCGCGCCGCAUUAGCUAGUUGGUAAGGUAACGGCUUACCAAGGCAACGAUGCGUAGCCGACCUGAGAGGGUGAUCGGCCACACUGGAACUGAGACACGGUACAGACUCCUACGGGAGGCAGCAGUAGGGAAUCUUACGCAAUGGGCGAAAGCCUGACGGAGCAACGCCGCGUGAGUGAUGAAGGUCUUCGGAUCGUAAAACUCUGUUAUUAGGGAAGAACAAAUGUGUAAGUAACUAUGCACGUCUUGACGGUACCUAAGCAGAAAGCCACGGCUAACUACGUG
Molecule: ribosomal RNA, 497 nt
Filed under: uncultured bacterium
Lineage: Bacteria
Description: partial 16S ribosomal RNA
Rfam family: Bacterial small subunit ribosomal RNA
Source: RNAcentral